UGCGAACUCCUACGGGAGGCAGCAGUGAGGAAUCUUCCACAAUGGGCGAAAGCCUGAUGGAGCAACGCCGCGUGCAGGAUGAAGGCCUUCGGGUUGUAAACUGCUUUUAUAAGUGAGGAAUAUGACGGUAGCUUAUGAAUAAGGAUCGGCUAACUACGUGCCAGCAGCCGCGGUCAUACGUAGGAUCCGAGCGUUAUCCGGAGUGACUGGGCGUAAAGAGUUGCGUAGGCGGUUUGUUAAGUGAAUAGUGAAAUCUGGUGGCUCAACCAUACAGGCUAUUAUUCAAACUGGCAAACUCGAGAGUGGUAGAGGUCACUGGAAUUUCUUGUGUAGGAGUGAAAUCCGUAGAUAUAAGAAGGAACACCGAUGGCGUAGGCAGGUGACUGGACCAUUUCUGACGCUAAGGCACGAAAGCGUGGGGAGCGAACCGGAUUAGAUACCCUUGUAGUCCU
RNAcentral lists this ribosomal RNA (452 nucleotides) under uncultured bacterium. RNAcentral describes it as "bacterial SSU rRNA". It matches the Rfam family "Bacterial small subunit ribosomal RNA", at positions 330 to 797 of the family's 1533-position model. The record is from RNAcentral.